GAGGAAUAUUGGUCAAUGGGCGGAAGCCUGAACCAGCCAUGCCGCGUGCAGGAAGACGGCCCUACGGGUUGUAAACUGCUUCUCUGCGGGAAGAACGGCCCCCACGGGUGGGGGUGUGACGGUACCGCAGGAAUAAGGAUCGGCUAACUCCGUGCCAGCAGCCGCGGUAAUACGGAGGAUCCGAGCGUUAUCCGGAUUUACUGGGUUUAAAGGGUGCGUAGGCUGUUCGCUAAGUCGGCGGUGAAAUGGCGCGGCUCAACCGUGCAGCUGCCGUUGAAACUGGCGGGCUUGAGUGGGUUCGAGGCAGGCGGAAUGCGCGGUGUAGCGGUGAAAUGCAUAGAUAUCGCGCAGAACGCCAAUAGCGUAGGCAGCUUGCCAGGCCCCAACUGACGCUGAGGCACGAAAGCGUGGGGAUCAAAC
RNAcentral lists this ribosomal RNA (420 nucleotides) under uncultured bacterium. RNAcentral's name for it is "bacterial SSU rRNA". It matches the Rfam family "Bacterial small subunit ribosomal RNA", at positions 356 to 773 of the family's 1533-position model. The record is from RNAcentral.